This 1319-nucleotide long non-coding RNA is filed under the name Homo sapiens (human). RNAcentral's name for it is "HSALNT0188220". The record is from RNAcentral. Lineage: Eukaryota; Metazoa; Chordata; Mammalia; Primates; Hominidae.
GCUUGCUUGGUGGGGUAGGAGUAGUUGAAGUCGCUGUUGGAACUGUAGCUGCUGCUGUCUUCAUCCGGGGAAAUACUGAAUCGUCCCAUUUCGGCCUUCUUCAUGCUAAGCACUGGGAGGAAUCGGGUGCAGCUAGUAGCGCUGGGCUCCUUUUGUCCUUGGCGGUGGGUGCAGCGGCCCGCGAGUCGGCCUGCGAAAGUAGAGGCGGCGCGUCAGGACCGCAGCGCCAGCCCGCCGCGGUCACGUGACGCCGCCCGGAGGCGCAGCGCGGCUGAUUCAUCCCAGGCCAGGCGAGUGGAAAAGUACCAGCCGCGCGCGAGGGGCGGGGGCGCGCCGAGGGGCGGAAAAGUACAGACGGCGGAGCCGCGGGGAGAACAAAGAUGAUGCCACCGCUGUGUUGCGGCCGUCGAGGCCCCCUACUCCGGCAGAUUUCAGUAUUUCACCCUCUCUAUUGUCCCUCGUCGGAGUGGAGGGGGCGAGGGGGGGUUCUGUUUUGCUUUUUCCCAGUCGCUCCAAACUUGCACAGGCACUCAGGGCACACAUCCAGCCCCGACCCUGGCUCGUGUGCAUGCAACCUAGGCGCACGGCUUUCCGUUUCUAGCAUUUGGAACAGCAAUGCUGCGUAAUCUGUCCUUUACUGCCCGGAGUCCCCACACGGAGAAAUGCCUCUGCCGCAGACAGCCUUCCCCAGGAGGCGGAAAGGGCCGACACUACUCCUCUCUCGAGGGGGGCGAACGCCCGGGCCCCGGGAGCUGGGGGUUUGUUUACACACGCGCGCCAGUGCCCUCAAGCACACCCGUCCACAGGCAGCUGGCCCGCGAGUGCUACGCCCGCCCAGCCCCUCCUAUGUCCGGAAAGAAAACUGAUGCAAUAUCGAUCGUCGAUUGUCAAAUGUUCCCAACUCGUCUUCCCCAAUCUUGGCCUCUCCUGUAAUACAUGCCCAAGCCCACCUCCGCCGCCCCCAGAUUCCUGGCUCCCUGGACUUAAUUUUUUUUUUUUAUUAAAUGCAAAUCAGUCACAAGACUUGCCGCAGCAGAGCCGCUGGCCGGGCUAGCUCCCCUCCCCCUAAUGGGAAGAUGCGGCUCCGCACCGUGCAGGCACGCGGCCCCCGCCCAGCGCCCGCUCUCCUACCCACGUCGCGGGCGCGACACCCGCGCGGCGGGCCAGGGUGGAAGGCUGGCCAGCCCAACCGACAACGCCCGCCUCGAAAGGAAACGGACCCCGCGGCCGCCUUCCCGCGCGGCCCCUCCCGGAAGCCCCUCCCCCACUCUCGCCCGGGCCCCGCGCCCUUCCCACAGACGCCCCCCCGCACGCGUUAC